CGCCAGUCUGCGUGGAGCCGACCUUGAAAUACCACCCUUUAAUGUUUGAUGUUCUAACGUGGACCCGUAAUCCGGGUUGCGGACAGUGUCUGGUGGGUAGUUUGACUGGGGCGGUCUCCUCCUAAAGAGUAACGGAGGAGCACGAAGGUUGGCUAAUCCUGGUCGGACAUCAGGAGGUUAGUGCAAUGGCAUAAGCCAGCUUGACUGCGAGCGUGACGGCGCGAGCAGGUGCGAAAGCAGGUCAUAGUGAUCCGGUGGUUCUGAAUGGAAGGGCCAUCGCUCAACGGAUAAAAGGUACUCCGGGGAUAACAGGCUGAUACCGCCCAAGAGUUCAUAUCGACGGCGGUGUUUGGCACCUCGAUGUCGGCUCAUCACAUCCUGGGGCUGAAGUAGGUCCCAAGGGUAUGGCUGUUCGCCAUUUAAAGUGGUACGCGAGCUGGGUUUAGAACGUCGUGAGACAGUUCGGUCCCUAUCUGCCGUGGGCGCUGGAGAACUGAGGGGGGCUGCUCCUAGUACGAGAGGACCGGAGUGGACGCAUCACUGGUGUUCGGGUUGUCAUGCCAAUGGCACUGCCCGGUAGCUAAAUGCGGAAGAGAUAAGUGCUGAAAGCAUCUAAGCACGAAACUUGCCCCGAGAUGAGUUCUCCCUGAGACUUAGAGUCUCCUGAAGGAACGUUGAAGACGACGACGUUGAUAGGCCGGGUGUGUAAGCGCAGCGAUGCGUUGAGCUAACCGGUACUAAUGAACCGUGAGGCUUAACCUU
This 762-nucleotide ribosomal RNA is filed under the name Salmonella enterica. RNAcentral describes it as "partial 23S ribosomal RNA". It matches the Rfam family "Bacterial large subunit ribosomal RNA", at positions 2169 to 2925 of the family's 2925-position model. Lineage: Bacteria; Pseudomonadati; Pseudomonadota; Gammaproteobacteria; Enterobacterales; Enterobacteriaceae. The record is from RNAcentral.